CAACCCUCGAGCCCCCCGCGGGGGGCCCGGCGUUGGGGAUCGGCUGACACUGCCGGCCCCGAAAUACAGUGGCGGUCCCGCCGCAGCCUCUCCUGCGCAGUAGCUUGCACACUCGCACCGGGAGCGCGGCGGGCCCACGGCCGUAAAACACCCCAAACUUCCGAAA
RNAcentral lists this unclassified non-coding RNA (166 nucleotides) under uncultured Trichoderma. RNAcentral describes it as "sequence contains ITS2". The record is from RNAcentral. Lineage: Eukaryota; Fungi; Ascomycota; Sordariomycetes; Hypocreales; Hypocreaceae.